CUGACACAUAUCAAAUGUCAAGAUCUUACAAAUCUAAUACACAAUACUGUGCAAUUAAAGAUUUCUUCUUGAAACUUUUCAAAAAUUUGUUUGAAAUUUGAGAAAUUUUGAAAAACAAAUGGGGAAUGUGUCCAUAUUGACACAGAUGAUGCCCCUGCUAGCAUAUGUCAUUAUAAAGGGACAUAACUCAAGAACUGCAAAAGUGAAGCUGCCA
Molecule: long non-coding RNA, 214 nt
Filed under: Mytilus galloprovincialis (Mediterranean mussel)
Lineage: Eukaryota; Metazoa; Mollusca; Bivalvia; Mytilida; Mytilidae
Source: RNAcentral